UGUUAAAAAGUUUAUCUUUUUUAUUAUUAAAAAUUGGUAUGGCUUACAGAAUAAUCAAAUAGUGAUGCUUAGUGUGUGACGUGUAUCUCAUGCUCACGUACAAGGACCAUUUUUUUAAUAGUAGAAAUUGAUGAAAUUUGUAACA
Molecule: microRNA precursor, 145 nt
Organism: Gossypium arboreum
Lineage: Eukaryota; Viridiplantae; Streptophyta; Magnoliopsida; Malvales; Malvaceae
Rfam family: MIR7502 microRNA precursor family
Source: Rfam